This is a long non-coding RNA of Gekko japonicus, 202 nucleotides long. RefSeq lists it as uncharacterized. The record is from RefSeq and is a predicted model, not a curated record. Lineage: Eukaryota; Metazoa; Chordata; Lepidosauria; Squamata; Gekkonidae. The transcript is spliced from 3 exons.
CCAGGAGAAUCUGGGCGAAGUGGACCUCCAGGCCCAGCAGGCCCACGAGGUCAACCAGGUGUGAUGGGUUUCCCCGGUCCAAAAGGUAGUGAGGGUUCACCUGGUAAAAAUGGAGAAAGAGGUGCACCUGGAAGUCCUGGUGGACAGGGACUACCUGGAAAGGACGGUGAAGGAGGAGCUCAAGGUCCACCAGGACCUGCCG